CAGUGCCACGGCCGUCUGAGCUAAGAUCUGAAUAAUAACGAUGAGGCGCAGGAAACUGCGCCUUUUUU
This 68-nucleotide small RNA is filed under the name uncultured Citrobacter sp. RNAcentral's name for it is "Salmonella enterica sRNA STnc40". It matches the Rfam family "Salmonella enterica sRNA STnc40". The record is from RNAcentral. Lineage: Bacteria; Pseudomonadati; Pseudomonadota; Gammaproteobacteria; Enterobacterales; Enterobacteriaceae.